Molecule: non-coding RNA, 224 nt
Organism: Pelobates cultripes (western spadefoot toad)
Lineage: Eukaryota; Metazoa; Chordata; Amphibia; Anura; Pelobatidae
Source: the annotation of a GenBank genome assembly
GUCCAAGGAGCAAAAUAAAUAUUUGGUAAAAGGGAAAAAAACAGAAAAAAACAGUAAGUCAAAAUGUAGCAAAUGGUCCUUUUGAACCUAAUGGCAGUUAGCACCCACCCGCUAGAUUGUCAAAGCGGGCUAUCAGUGUCUCUUUGUUUAGUAAUUGGUUUAGCAUGGUACUGGAAGUCAUAGAACUAGUAUUUAUUCCUUUUUAGCAAAACAUGAACUUGCAU